Molecule: ribosomal RNA, 253 nt
Filed under: uncultured bacterium
Lineage: Bacteria
Description: partial 16S ribosomal RNA
Rfam family: Bacterial small subunit ribosomal RNA
Source: RNAcentral
UACGUAGGGUGCAAGCGUUGUCCGGAAUUACUGGGCGUAAAGCGUGCGCAGGCUGCUUCGCAAGUCAGGCGUGAAAUCCCCGGGCUUAACCUGGGAAUGGCGUCUGAAACUACGGAGCUAGAGUGUGGCAGAGGGAGGUAGAAUUCCACGUGUAGCGGUGAAAUGCGUAGAUAUGUGGAGGAAUACCGAUGGCGAAGGCAGCCUCCUGGGCCAACACUGACGCUCAUGCACGAAAGCGUGGGGAGCAAACAGG